The sequence is a ribosomal RNA, 880 nucleotides long. The stretch from base 320 to 474 matches the Rfam family "5.8S ribosomal RNA".
AGUCGUAACAAGGUUUCCGUAGGUGAACCUGCGGAAGGAUCAUUAAUGAAUAUAAAUCAUAGGGAGGAAUACGGGGGGAAAGUUGUCGCUGGCCUUUUGUAAUGAGGGCAUGUGCACGCCUACCCCUGAGGACCUCUCUAUGUGAUUCCUCUUCUUACCCACCUGUGCACUUCAUGUAGAGUCAGGCUUCUUCCUUUCGGGGAGGCGGCUAUGAACCCUAUGUCUUAUAAACAUCCGACGUGUAGAAAGUCCCAGAAUGUUUACUACCAUUGAGACGCGACUUCUAGGAGACGCGGGUCUUUGGGUUAAAAGUUAUUACAACUUUCAGCAAUGGAUCUCUUGGCUCUCGCAUCGAUGAAGAACGCAGCGAAAAGCGAUAUGUAAUGUGAAUUGCAGAUCUACAGUGAAUCAUCGAAUCUUUGAACGCACCUUGCGCUCCUUGGUAUUCCGAGGAGCAUGCCUGUUUGAGUGUCAGUAAUUUCUCAACCCCUCUCGAUUAACUUCGAGUGGGAGCUUGGAUAGUGGGGGUUGCAGGAGACUCGUCAGGACUUUUAAAUUCCUGAAGGGACUCGAGCUCCCCUUAAAUGCAUCGGCUUGCGGUUGACUUUCGACUUUGCAUGAAAAGGCUUUCGGCGUGAUAAUGAUCGCCGUGUGCUGAAGUGCAUGAAUGAAGGUUCCGUGCCUCUAAUACCUGUCGAUCGAUCUUUCGGAUUCGGUCUUCUUUCUGAUAUUUUGACCUCAAAUCAGGUAGGACUACCCGCUGAACUUAAGCAUAUCAAUAAGCGGAGGAAAAGAAACUAACAAGGAUUCCCCUAGUAACUGCGAGUGAACCGGGAAAAGCUCAAAUUUUGAAUCUGACGGUCUUUAUGGCCGUCCGAGU